AACGAACGCUGGCGGCAUGCUUAACACAUGCAAGUCGAACGAAAUACCUGACUUCGGUUGGGAUAUUUAGUGGCAGACGGGUGAGUAACGCGUGGGAAUCUACCUAGUAGUGGGGAAUAACUAUGGGAAACUAUAGCUAAUACCGCAUACGCCCUUAGGGGAAGGACUUCGGCCGCUAUCAGAGGAGCCCGCGUCAGAUUAGGUAGUUGGUAGGGUAAAGGGACCUACCAAGCCGAUGANCUGUAGCUGGUUUGUAGAGGAUGAUCAGCCACACUGGAAC
This 280-nucleotide ribosomal RNA is filed under the name uncultured bacterium. RNAcentral describes it as "partial 16S ribosomal RNA". It matches the Rfam family "Bacterial small subunit ribosomal RNA", at positions 29 to 319 of the family's 1533-position model. The record is from RNAcentral.